RNAcentral lists this ribosomal RNA (465 nucleotides) under Vreelandella stevensii. Its description in RNAcentral is "partial 16S ribosomal RNA". It matches the Rfam family "Bacterial small subunit ribosomal RNA", at positions 338 to 795 of the family's 1533-position model. The record is from RNAcentral. Lineage: Bacteria; Pseudomonadati; Pseudomonadota; Gammaproteobacteria; Oceanospirillales; Halomonadaceae.
CCUACGGGAGGCAGCAGUGGGGAAUAUUGGACAAUGGGCGAAAGCCUGAUCCAGCCAUGCCGCGUGUGUGAAGAAGGCCUUCGGGUUGUAAAGCACUUUCAGUGGGGAAGAAAGCCUUGGGGCUAAUACCCUCGAGGAAGGACAUCACCCACAGAAGAAGCACCGGCUAACUCCGUGCCAGCAGCCGCGGUAAUACGGAGGGUGCGAGCGUUAAUCGGAAUUACUGGGCGUAAAGCGCGCGUAGGCGGUCUGAUAAGCCGGUUGUGAAAGCCCCGGGCUCAACCUGGGAACGGCAUCCGGAACUGUCAGGCUAGAGUGCAGGAGAGGAAGGUAGAAUUCCCGGUGUAGCGGUGAAAUGCGUAGAGAUCGGGAGGAAUACCAGCGGCGAAGGCGGCCUUCUGGACUGACACUGACGCUGAGGUGCGAAAGCGUGGGUAGCAAACAGGAUUAGAUACCCGAGUAGUC